RNAcentral lists this ribosomal RNA (706 nucleotides) under uncultured bacterium. Its description in RNAcentral is "bacterial SSU rRNA". It matches the Rfam family "Bacterial small subunit ribosomal RNA", at positions 102 to 807 of the family's 1533-position model. The record is from RNAcentral.
ACGGGUGCGUAACGCGUAUCAAACCUGCCUCAUACUCGGGGAUAGCCUUGCGAAAGUAAGAUUAAUACCCGAUGUUGUUAUGUUGCCGCAUGGAGAUAUAACCAAAGAUUUAUCGGUAUGAGAUGGUGAUGCGUCCGAUUAGGUAGUAGGCGGGGUAACGGCCCACCUAGCCUUCGAUCGGUAGGGGUUCUGAGAGGAAGGUCCCCCACACUGGAACUGAGACACGGUCCAGACUCCUACGGGAGGCAGCCGUGAGGAAUAUUGGUCAAUGGACGCAAGUCUGAACCAGCCAAGUAGCGUGCAGGAUGACGGCCCUCCGGGUUGUAAACUGCUUUUAGUUGGGAAUAAAAAAGAGGACGUGUCCUCUCUUGUAUGUACCUUCAGAAAAAGGACCGGCUAAUUCCGUGCCAGCAGCCGCGGUAAUACGGAAGGUCCAGGCGUUAUCCGGAUUUAUUGGGUUUAAAGGGAGCGUAGGCGGAUUAUUAAGUCAGUGGUGAAAGACGGUGGCUCAACCAUCGUUAGCCAUUGAAACUGGUAGUCUUGAGUGCAGACAGGGAUGCUGGAACUCGUGGUGUAGCGGUGAAAUGCUUAGAUAUCACGAUGAACUCCGAUCGCGAAGGCAGGUGUCCGGGCUGCAACUGACGCUGAGGCUCGAAAGUGUGGGUAUCAAACAGGAUUAGAUACCCUGGUAGUCCACACAGUAAAC